CCGCCCGUCACACCAUGGGAGUGGGCUGCAAAAGAAGUAGGUAGUUUAACCUUCGGGGGGACGCUUACCACUUUGUGGUUCAUGACUGGGGUGAAGUCGUAACAAGGUAGCCCUAGGGGAACCUGGGGCUGGAUCACCUCCUUA
RNAcentral lists this ribosomal RNA (144 nucleotides) under Vibrio alginolyticus. Its description in RNAcentral is "partial 16S ribosomal RNA". It matches the Rfam family "Bacterial small subunit ribosomal RNA", at positions 1390 to 1533 of the family's 1533-position model. Lineage: Bacteria; Pseudomonadati; Pseudomonadota; Gammaproteobacteria; Vibrionales; Vibrionaceae. The record is from RNAcentral.